RNAcentral lists this ribosomal RNA (300 nucleotides) under uncultured Lactobacillus sp. Its description in RNAcentral is "partial 16S ribosomal RNA". The stretch from base 52 to 300 matches the Rfam family "Bacterial small subunit ribosomal RNA", at positions 547 to 795 of the family's 1533-position model. The record is from RNAcentral. Lineage: Bacteria; Bacillati; Bacillota; Bacilli; Lactobacillales; Lactobacillaceae.
GUGAAGUGGGGGCCAGUGGCGGGGGGCAGACGGAGGGGGGAAGCGUUGGCCGGAAUUAUGGGGCGUAAAGCGCGAGCAGGCGGGCCUGUAAGUCGGAUGUGAAAGCCCACGGCUCAACCGUGGAGGGUCAUUGGAAACUGGGGGACUUGAGUGCAGAAGAGGAAAGCGGAAUGCCACGUGUAGCGGUGAAAUGCGUAGAGAUGUGGAGGAACACCAGUGGCGAAGGCGGCUUUCUGGUCUGUAACUGACGCUGAGGCGCGAAAGCGUGGGGAGCAAACAGGAUUAGAUACCCCAGUAGUC